UGCAUAUCCAAAAAGCGGAGGAAAAGAAACCAACAGGGAUUGCCUUAGUAGCGGCGAGUGACAGGCAGAGCUCAGAUUUGAAAGCCUUUCGGGGCAUUGUAUUCUGAAGCCUUGGUCCUGGGAAACCGAUGUCUAAGUCUUCUGGAAAGGAGCGCCAUGGAGGGUGAUAGCCCCGUACGACAUUGACCCCACUGUAGGACCUUGGCAUGGAGUCGAGUUGUUUGGGAAUGCAGCUCAAAUGGGUGGUAUGCUCCAUCUAAAGCUAAAUAUCUGCGAGAGACCGAUAGCGAACAAGUACUGUGAAGGAAAGAUGAAAAGAACUUUGAAAAGAGAGUGAAAAAGUACGUGAAAUUGUUGAAAUGGAAGGGUAGGCCGCUAACCACGUAGAGUCGUGUCUGGGGGGAAGAUAAAAGCUGAAGAAUGUAACUCCUCGGAGUAUUAUAGCUUCAGUCCAUAUUCCCACCCGGGCGCGAGGACUUAAGACUCUGCUAAAUGGUGGUCUACCACCCGUCUUGAACCACGGACCUA
RNAcentral lists this ribosomal RNA (528 nucleotides) under Starmerella bombi. Its description in RNAcentral is "partial 18S ribosomal RNA". It matches the Rfam family "Eukaryotic large subunit ribosomal RNA", at positions 37 to 669 of the family's 3401-position model. Lineage: Eukaryota; Fungi; Ascomycota; Dipodascomycetes; Dipodascales; Trichomonascaceae. The record is from RNAcentral.